UAAUGAAAAUAGAAAAGGGCAGUUGCGGAAACAACUACCCAAUGCAGAACCGUUUAAGACGGUGGCAGAAAAUAACCGUUAAAAAAUA
Molecule: small RNA, 88 nt
Filed under: Streptococcus canis
Lineage: Bacteria; Bacillati; Bacillota; Bacilli; Lactobacillales; Streptococcaceae
Description: RatA
Rfam family: RNA anti-toxin A
Source: RNAcentral